AGUCACUGACAUUAGACUACCCGCGUAGUCCCAGCCGUAAACUAUGCGCGUUAGGUGUAUCGGUGACCACGAGUUACCGAGGUGCCGAAGGGAAACCGUGAAACGUGCCGCCGUGGGAAGUACGGUCGCAAGGCUAGAAACUUAAAGGAAUUGGCGGGGAGCACCACAACGGGUGGAGCCUGCGGUUUAAUUGGACUCAACGCCGGGAAGCUCACCGGAUAAGACAGCGGAAUGAUUGCCGGGCUGAAGACUCUGCAUGACUAGCUG
RNAcentral lists this ribosomal RNA (267 nucleotides) under uncultured archaeon. RNAcentral's name for it is "partial 16S ribosomal RNA". It matches the Rfam family "Archaeal small subunit ribosomal RNA", at positions 718 to 982 of the family's 1478-position model. The record is from RNAcentral.